GAUGAACGCUGGCGGCGUGCCUAAUACAUGCAAGUCGAGCGAACAGACGAGGAGCUUGCUCCUCUGACGUUAGCGGCGGACGGGUGAGUAACACGUGGAUAACCUACCUAUAAGACUGGGAUAACUUCGGGAAACCGGAGCUAAUACCGGAUAAUAUAUUGAACCGCAUGGUUCAAUAGUGAAAGACGGUUUUGCUGUCACUUAUAGAUGGAUCCGCGCCACAUUAGCUAGUUGGUAAGGUAACGGCUUACCAAGGCGACGAUGCGUAGCCGACCUGAGAGGGUGACCAGCCACACUGGAACUGAGACACGGCCCAGACUCCUACGGGAGGCAGCAGUAGGGAAUUUUCCGCAAUGGGCGCAAGCCUGACGGAGCAACGCCGCGUGAGUGAUGAAGGUCUUCGGAUCGUAAAACUCUGUUAUUAGGGAAGAACAACUGUGUACGUAAAUACGCACGUCUUGACGGUACCUAAUCAGAAAGCCACGGCUAACUACGUG
This 497-nucleotide ribosomal RNA is filed under the name uncultured bacterium. RNAcentral describes it as "partial 16S ribosomal RNA". It matches the Rfam family "Bacterial small subunit ribosomal RNA", at positions 28 to 507 of the family's 1533-position model. The record is from RNAcentral.